Small nuclear RNA from Dromiciops gliroides (monito del monte), 102 nucleotides. Lineage: Eukaryota; Metazoa; Chordata; Mammalia; Microbiotheria; Microbiotheriidae. The record is from RefSeq and is a predicted model, not a curated record.
GUGCUUUAGAAGCACGUAUAUUAAAAGUGGAAAGUUACAGAGAAGAUUGACAGGACCUCUGUACAAGUGGGAUACACUCAUUAUGAAGCAUCCUAUAUUUUA